GCAUCGGUGGUUUAGUGGUAAAAUUAGCCGUUGCCAUUCAAUUGAAUCAAUUCGGCUAGCCCCGGGUUCGAUUCCCGGCCGAUGCA
Molecule: transfer RNA, 86 nt
Filed under: Phaeosphaeria sp. MPI-PUGE-AT-0046c
Lineage: Eukaryota; Fungi; Ascomycota; Dothideomycetes; Pleosporales; Phaeosphaeriaceae
Rfam family: tRNA
About the family: Transfer RNA (tRNA) molecules are approximately 80 nucleotides in length. Their secondary structure includes four short double-helical elements and three loops (D, anti-codon, and T loops). Further hydrogen bonds mediate the characteristic L-shaped molecular structure. tRNAs have two regions of fundamental functional importance: the anti-codon, which is responsible for specific mRNA codon recognition, and the 3' end, to which the tRNAs corresponding amino acid is attached (by aminoacyl-tRNA synthetases). tRNAs cope with the degeneracy of the genetic code in two manners: having more than one tRNA (with a specific anti-codon) for a particular amino acid; and 'wobble' base-pairing, i.e. permitting non-standard base-pairing at the 3rd anti-codon position.
Source: Rfam by way of RNAcentral